UCCCAGAUGGCUUAGGGGUAAAGUAUCUGCCUGCCAAUGCAGGAGACUCAGGAGAUGCAGGUUCAAUCCCUGGGUUGGGAA
RNAcentral lists this transfer RNA (81 nucleotides) under Bos taurus (domestic cattle). It matches the Rfam family "tRNA". Rfam says of the family: Transfer RNA (tRNA) molecules are approximately 80 nucleotides in length. RNAcentral also lists the same sequence under 3 other names. Lineage: Eukaryota; Metazoa; Chordata; Mammalia; Artiodactyla; Bovidae. The record is from Rfam by way of RNAcentral.